RNAcentral lists this ribosomal RNA (431 nucleotides) under uncultured bacterium. RNAcentral describes it as "partial 16S ribosomal RNA". It matches the Rfam family "Bacterial small subunit ribosomal RNA", at positions 29 to 507 of the family's 1533-position model. The record is from RNAcentral.
AACGAACGCUGGCGGCAGGCUUAACACAUGCAAGUCGAGCGCCCCGCAAGGGGAGCGGCAGACGGGUGAGUACCGCGUGGGAACGUACCUUUUGGUUCGGAACAACUCCGGGAAACUGGAGCUAAUACCGGAUAAGCCCUGACGGGGAAAGAUUUAUCGCCGAAAGAUCGGCCCGCGUCUGAUUAGCUAGUUGGUGAGGUAACGGCUCACCAAGGCGACGAUCAGUAGCUGGUCUGAGAGGAUGAUCAGCCACACUGGGACUGAGACACGGCCCAGACUCCUACGGGAGGCAGCAGUGGGGAAUAUUGGACAAUGGGCGCAAGCCUGAUCCAGCCAUGCCGCGUGAGUGAUGAAGGCCUUAGGGUUGUAAAGCUCUUUUGUCCGGGAAGAUAAUGACUGUACCGGAAGAAUAAGCCCCGGCUAACUUCGUG